AUAGCUCUGAUAUUCAUACCGAACAACGCCAGCACAGAACAACAGAACAUCAUGAACUCCGCCAAAGUCACCGUCUUGUUCCUGAUCGCCAUCUGCAUUUCGUAUUCCCUUGCAAGCAACAAAAGAGAAAUGGAUCGUUCAGUAUCAACAUCGACUUCAACAUCAACAUCAACUUCAUCCUCUACAUCUUCGUCUACUGAAAAUGGAGGAGAAGGAUUUGCACCUUCAAUUCUCGGAGCCAACGG
Molecule: long non-coding RNA, 245 nt
Organism: Haliotis rufescens (red abalone)
Lineage: Eukaryota; Metazoa; Mollusca; Gastropoda; Lepetellida; Haliotidae
Exons: 4
Source: RefSeq, a predicted model, not a curated record